Molecule: non-coding RNA, 2382 nt
Organism: Salvia hispanica
Lineage: Eukaryota; Viridiplantae; Streptophyta; Magnoliopsida; Lamiales; Lamiaceae
Source: RefSeq, a predicted model, not a curated record
UCUCCCAUCCACUCAUUUCCAGCCGUUGGAUCGUCAACCGCCUACAAUAAAUACACCUUAUCGUCUCAUUCCUUCUUUGCAUCCAUUCAUUUCCGAAGCUGCCUCGAUCUACUGGCUUCUGUCCUCUUUCUGCAGGCCUGAUUAUUUUCUUGUUCUUUCCGUCAGAUUCAUUUAGAUCGCGAGGCGAUCUACGUCGUGGUUAUGGUUUUUCCGAGUUUUAUUAUGCCUGCUGGUUUUUCUCAAUUUGAUAGCGCUGUCCCUUGGUUUAUACCCUGGCUGCCGUUGUGAAACUUGCGUUUCUUAUGCGCUGCUGCGGCUGUGAAACGACGAGGUUUUGCUGGAUCUGCAACCGUGCUGGAUGGAUCGUUGAAGAAUCGCUUUUCCGUAGUUGAUUGGAAAUCAUUUUUUUGGAUCUGGAAACACGUAGCAUCUUGUGAAGACACGAUCAUCAGAUCGUGGAUAUUGACCGGUAUGGAGUAAUCGAGUUUUAACCAUCAAUUUGUCGGUCUUCGGUGCUCUGGUGGACUGGCCGAGUGGCUCAAGGGAAGUGAUUUGUUUUGUGUCGUGUUUAUUCAUGCGUUCUUGCUGUCUGUAGUCUCGGCUAAUUGUUGAGGAAUCAGACUGUAAAAAAAUGGAAAAAUUCGUGAGUGAAGUGAGGUGAGAUGUGAAAAGUGAGGUGAGAUGUGGUUGUCUGCAUGACCUUUGCCAUGAUGGGUGCGCUCGCAUGGCAGGUCGCCCGUUAAUAAAAGUUUUCGUUUUUGGUUUUGAGGGGAGAUGGCACGGGGAUUUGCCCGGCUCUCCCCCUGUGUGUGGUGUCCUCUCGUCUCUCUCAACUUCCUGCCUCGUUUCUUGUCCAUAUUAUGCACACAUACAAAGUACAAAUACGGUAAUCCAAUCACGCCGUCGUUAUCUUGAAUGCGUCGGUAUGAAAUAAAUGUGUCUAAUCAGGAUCAAAUCAUUUCCAAUAUUUGAGAUGGUACUUCGGGAACAAGGCUUCAAGAGCAUCAACUACAACAGAGGUACAAAUUUGCAUUCUUUAAGUAUAUCAUCAUCAUCUUCUUAUUAAUAUUGCAACAACGUUAACUAGGAAUUUGGUAUCUUUUACUUGGUUUAGUAGUCCAAAUUAUCUAAUUACUCUGGAAUGUAGGAAAUAAUCAAGAACGGAUGACAUGUAAAACUGAUAUCUGCAACCUCAGUUUUUUAUUACAAAACUUUAUAGUACUCGUCAAGCUGGAAGCCUUAACCUUACGUUUGUCUAAUCUAAUUAUGGAGAUAAUAUUAAUCUGUAACCAACUACAUUUACACCUGCAUCAUGAUUAUCCAUUUAUAACUAUUCACGAACAAAAUGCAUCAUGUUUGAUAGGUCGUUACACACUGAAACCUAUAGUGUUCAUUGUUUAAUACCUUCGGUUUCUGUUUUCCUUUGUUCCCCUAUGUUGCGGGAUGUAGCUAUUGUUUAUGAUUGUUGAUGUAUGUUGGCUUAUCACUAUCAACCAUUUGUAUGGGUGAAGGAACUCGUCUUUCUGUAGUCUGUAGUUCAAAGCUAUAGCAUGGUUGUAAUAGAUCAGCUAUUCAGUAGAUGGUUGGUUGCUUAUUGGAUGUGGAGUAUUGUCUCUUCGAGUCUUCUUGAGGAGGUUCUGGCGUGCCCAAGGAUGCUGGAUGCAUUGAUGAUGAUGUGCUGCUGUGGCGUUCAACUGUGGUUUACUUGUCCAGUCUCGCGUCUUCUGCCCCUUUGGAUGCUGGCUGUCUUGAUGAUUUGCUGCUGCUUUGGCUUUGGCUUUGGCUUUGGCUUUGGCUUUGGCUUUGGCUUUGGCUUUGGCUUUGGCUUUCUACAUGAGUGAAUUCCUAAGGCUAUGGUGAUUGUUCUCGUAGGUAUUUUCUUCAGUUGCAUAUAAUCAUGUGCCUCAUUUGUAUCUCCAAAUGUUGUUGCUGAAGAUAAUUGUCAAGUAAGCUGCGAGGAACUUCAGUUCUCUUUACGUUGCAGAGCUUUGUUAUCUGUCCUUCCUAUAUUGAUUGAUUCCUUCUACGGUAGUUUCUGUUUGUAUCACAAAUAUCUUUAUUAAGGUUGCCUUUCUAGUAAAAAUAAGGUUGGGUGGGCGUUUUAAAGUUGUUGGGAUGUGUGAAGCGAUCUGGACCUAGUUGAUAUUGGAUUGAUAUUUUUGUUUUGAAGUUAAAUGCUUGAUUUGUUAUAUUAAUACGAGUAUUUGCUUUGCAUUUUGUAGGGUGUGGUUUGUCAGUUUGGGAUUUGAAGUUAUGACACAGUUGGAAGAUGCAGCGAAUUGACCUAUUAUUGCCUUUGGGAAGAGUUUUAAUUUGGUUAAGAUUUAUCAUCGGUUACAAAACUAUUCCAAGCAUAAUUUUUAUUUUGCAUUUUAAUUUUAA